Molecule: non-coding RNA, 71 nt
Organism: Sus scrofa (pig)
Lineage: Eukaryota; Metazoa; Chordata; Mammalia; Artiodactyla; Suidae
Source: Rfam
UCCCUGGUGGUCUAGUGGUUAGGACUCAGUGCUUUCAUUGCUGCAGCCGGGUUCAAUCCCUGGUCUGGGAA